RNAcentral lists this transfer RNA (28 nucleotides) under Elgaria multicarinata. RNAcentral's name for it is "partial tRNA-Cys". Lineage: Eukaryota; Metazoa; Chordata; Lepidosauria; Squamata; Anguidae. The record is from RNAcentral.
AAAAGAGACGUUAAGAUCUCCGGGACUU